RNAcentral lists this ribosomal RNA (656 nucleotides) under uncultured bacterium. Its description in RNAcentral is "bacterial SSU rRNA". It matches the Rfam family "Bacterial small subunit ribosomal RNA", at positions 61 to 724 of the family's 1533-position model. The record is from RNAcentral.
GUCGAGCGGGGUUUUCGGACCUAGCGGCGGACGGGUGAGUAAUGCGUAGGAAGCUGCCCGAUAGAGGGGGAUACCAGUUGGAAACGACUGUUAAUACCGCAUAAUGUCUACGGACCAAAGUGUGGGACCUUAGGGCCACAUGCUAUCGGAUGCGCCUACGUGGGAUUAGCUAGUUGGUGAGGUAAUGGCUCACCAAGGCGACGAUCUCUAGCUGGUUUGAGUGGAUGAUCAGCCACACUGGAACUGAGACACGGUCCAGACUCCUACGGGAGGCAGCAGUGGGGAAUAUUGGACAAUGGGCGCAAGCCUGAUCCAGCCAUGCCGCGUGUGUGAAGAAGGCCUUCGGGUUGUAAAGCACUUUCAGCGAGGAGGAAGGGUGGUGUGUUAAUAGCACAUCAUUUUGACGUUACUCGCAGAAGAAGCACCGGCUAACUCUGUGCCAGCAGCCGCGGUAAUACAGAGGGUGCAAGCGUUAAUCGGAAUUACUGGGCGUAAAGCGCACGUAGGCGGUUUUUUAAGUCAGAUGUGAAAGCCCCGGGCUCAACCUGGGAAUUGCAUUUGAAACUGGGGAACUAGAGUGUGUGAGAGGGGGGUAGAAUUCCAAGUGUAGCGGUGAAAUGCGUAGAGAUUUGGAGGAAUACCAGUGGCGAAGGCGG